AGGUCGUUUUGAGGGCCAUUUUGAAGUAGAUCCUUGUAGCAUUCCCAUGAUUCAUACAACGACUCCCCCAUUUGUUGUUCAAAGUUAGAAAUGCCCUUUUUUUUUAACUU
Molecule: small nucleolar RNA, 110 nt
Organism: Lactuca sativa (garden lettuce)
Lineage: Eukaryota; Viridiplantae; Streptophyta; Magnoliopsida; Asterales; Asteraceae
Source: RefSeq, a predicted model, not a curated record